This 75-nucleotide transfer RNA is filed under the name Candidatus Iainarchaeum sp. RNAcentral's name for it is "tRNA-Pro". It matches the Rfam family "tRNA". From Rfam's summary of the family: Transfer RNA (tRNA) molecules are approximately 80 nucleotides in length. Lineage: Archaea; Nanobdellati; Candidatus Iainarchaeota; Candidatus Iainarchaeia; Candidatus Iainarchaeales; Candidatus Iainarchaeaceae. The record is from RNAcentral.
GGGGUCGUAGUCUAGUCUGGUCUAGGAUGCGAGCUUUGGGAGCUUGUGACGGGGGUUCAAAUCCUCCCGGCCCCA